CAGGCACUGUAAAAACGUAUUACGAUACUGGAAUCAUCUACUAUCAUUGCAAAACAGUUAGAUGAUUACAAAGAAUGCGUUUUUUAUGGGACAUACAUGUAAUAAGUCUAUCUACAUAUCACAAAUAAAGAACAUUUACAAAAUAUCAAAGAUUGCUACUUGCACAAUAAAGAUGUGGUAUACUACCAAGUAGAGUAGAAACGGGACAAUACACGGGGGAAGCAUUAGGUGACAGUAUAUGUUCUCCGUGUUCUUCAGACUGCGUAGAAGUUUCUUUCUCCAUGAGCCUUAAAAGGUGGAAUUCCCUAUUUCUGUCGUGGCUUUUUCACGUCUGGCGUUUGUGCACACCAAAACAACUGAGGCCUACAACCUGGGUAUGAUCUUGUGAAAUUGUGACACUUGAACUCUGAACUCUGAAUGUGAAAUAAGUACGUAUGCUUAAUGUGGAUUGACUGAGGCAUACAACCUGGGUAUGAUGUUUUGAAUUUGUGACAUUUGAACUGUGAACUCUGAAUGUGAAACAUUAUGUAUGCUUGAGGUGGAUUGACAUUUAUGUGCAUAGUCAUGCAGUUGAGUUUUGUAGAUAACAUCCAAUUUUACUUGGUAUGCUUAAAUAAAUUUCCAUAAAUAAGUAACCAUUCGCGGUUUACCCGGGGUGGUCAUUUUUUAUGCAGUCUAUAUAUAUGUGAACCUUUGAUGAUUUGAAUGAUGUUGUAUUUGCAUUUGAUCAUGUUGUGUGGGUUUGCCCAUGUGUUUUGUGUUGAAUGGCAUCCCACAAAACUUUUAAAAGCCACGUCCAAUGUUCACCAAAAUAAAUCUAAACAAAGCA
Molecule: long non-coding RNA, 829 nt
Organism: Ostrea edulis (European flat oyster)
Lineage: Eukaryota; Metazoa; Mollusca; Bivalvia; Ostreida; Ostreidae
Exons: 3
Source: RefSeq, a predicted model, not a curated record